GGUUGCCAUCAUACCAGCACUAAUGCACCGGAUCCCAUCAGAACUCCGCAGUUAAGCGUGCUUGGGCUAGAGUAGUACUAGGAUGGGUGACCCCCUGGGAAGUCCUCGUGUUGCAACCC
Molecule: ribosomal RNA, 119 nt
Filed under: Helianthus annuus (common sunflower)
Lineage: Eukaryota; Viridiplantae; Streptophyta; Magnoliopsida; Asterales; Asteraceae
Source: RNAcentral